UUUGUUGUCUUAGGCUGAAACUUUUUGUUGAAUGGAUGCCAAUAGCUAGAAAAGAACUUGGAAGCUAUUUGUGCAAUCUCCAUCUUAACAAUAAGCAAGCAACCAGAUGUUUAUUGGUAAAUAGGCCUUGGAAGCUGUUUGUGCAAUCUGUAUCUGAACAAUCAGCAAGUAGCUGGUAAAUGUUGCUCUGAAAGAUUUGGUGGACAUCCUCUUACUCAAACUUUGCGAACAUCACCGUCCCAGUGGGAGAGGAAAGGCAACAGUCAAUACACCCAAGCAGACAUAGAUAUGAUGCGAAAUGAAUGGGCAAAGUAUGUCGUGAACGCGUAUGUGUAGGAGCUAAAGGAAAGCAUAAGAGGAAGUAGGUUGUUGCUGAAGGAAAGCUUCAUUUUUGUGCUUCUCUGCUGGUACAAUAUUCAUGCACUGUGUGGCAUGUUUUGUAACAAAUAGUUUGUAUUUGUAUCAGCUUUUGAUGUCCCAAGUAGAUGGACAUGCAUUUGAAUGCUCUUCUUCUUUCAAUGUUGGUUUGGAUGAUUGGGAAAUCCUCCCUUUUAACAUUUGAAUGCUUCCUUCAAAUAGUAUGAGUUGGAUUACUCAUUUCAUAG
Molecule: long non-coding RNA, 605 nt
Organism: Rosa chinensis
Lineage: Eukaryota; Viridiplantae; Streptophyta; Magnoliopsida; Rosales; Rosaceae
Exons: 3
Source: RefSeq, a predicted model, not a curated record